GGUUAGUAGGUUGGUCAUGCCUCUGGUAUGUACUGAUCUCACUGAUUCCUCCCUCUUGACGAACUGUAAUGUCAUUAAUUUGGUGUUGCAGGAAAUCAGGACUGUUACUUUGAAAAAAUUAGAGUGUUUAAAGCAGGCUAAGGCUUGAAUACAUUAGCAUGGAAUAAUGAAAUAGGACGUUUGUUCCUAUUUUGUUGGUUUC
This 202-nucleotide ribosomal RNA is filed under the name uncultured Glomus. RNAcentral's name for it is "partial 18S rRNA". It matches the Rfam family "Eukaryotic small subunit ribosomal RNA", at positions 651 to 852 of the family's 1831-position model. The record is from RNAcentral. Lineage: Eukaryota; Fungi; Glomeromycota; Glomeromycetes; Glomerales; Glomeraceae.